UAGAGUUUGAUCCUGGCUCAGGACAAACGCUGGCGGGGUGCGUGAGACAUGCAAGUCGAACGAGGUGCCAUCGGGCUUGCUCGAUGGCUACCUAGUGGCGGACGGCUGAGUAACGCGUAGGUGACCUACCCGGAAGUGGGGAAUAACUGCCCGAAAGGGUGGCUAAUACCGCAUGUGGUCGGCGAUUCGAUUCGCCGUCUAAAGGAGCAAUCCGCUUCCGGAGGGGCCUGCGUCCGAUUAGCUAGUUGGUGGGGUAACGGCUCACCAAGGCGACGAUCGGUAGCUGGUCUGAGAGGAUGAUCAGCCAGACUGGGACUGAGAACGGCCCAGACUCCUACGGGAGGCAGCAGUCGGGAAUUUUGCCCAAUGGACGAAAGUCUGAGGCAGCAACUCCGCGUGAGGGAUGAAGGCUCUCGGGUCGUAAACCUCUUUUCUCAGGGAAGAUCCAAGACGGUACCUGAGGAAUAAGCCACGGCUAACUACGUGCCAGCAGCCGAGGUAAUACGUAGGUGGCAAGCGUUGUCCGGAUUUACUGGGCGUAAAGAGCGCGCAGGCGGCUGGUCAAGUCCGAUGUGAAAUCUCCCGGCUCAACUGGGAAACUGCAUCGGAAACUGAUCGGCUUGAAGGUGGGAGAGGGUAGUGGAAUUCCCGGUGUAGUGGUGAAAUGCGUAGAUAUCGGGAGGAACACCAGUGGCGAAGGCGACUACCUGGCCCAUUCUUGACGCUGAGGCGCGAAAGCUAGGGGAGCGAACGGGAUUAGAUACCCCGGUAGUCCUAGCCGUAAACGAUGAACACUAGGCGUAGUCGGUAUCGACCCCGGCUGUGCCGUAGCCAACGCAUUAAGUGUUCCGCCUGGGGAGUACGGCCGCAAGGCUAAAACUCAAAGGAAUUGACGGGGGCCCG
RNAcentral lists this ribosomal RNA (903 nucleotides) under uncultured bacterium. RNAcentral describes it as "bacterial SSU rRNA". It matches the Rfam family "Bacterial small subunit ribosomal RNA", at positions 1 to 923 of the family's 1533-position model. The record is from RNAcentral.